AAGUCGUGGCAAUGUCUCGCCUAUGGUGAACCAGCGGAGGGAUCAUUA
RNAcentral lists this ribosomal RNA (48 nucleotides) under Biscogniauxia bartholomaei. Its description in RNAcentral is "partial 18S ribosomal RNA". The record is from RNAcentral. Lineage: Eukaryota; Fungi; Ascomycota; Sordariomycetes; Xylariales; Xylariaceae.